CAGCAAGCAGGAAACUCCAUGCAAGCCUGGGACUGAGCAUCAGGCUCUGGGUGCCUGGGCUCUGAGAGGUGCUAAUCACUACACAAGAUAUAAGGCAGUGGAGAAUCAGCUCCAUUGUCACAGCAGUCACUAAUUAGCAUCUUUGUUGUGUCA
Non-coding RNA from Chelonoidis abingdonii (Abingdon island giant tortoise), 153 nucleotides. NCBI's taxonomy places the organism in Eukaryota, Metazoa, Chordata, Testudines, Testudinidae. The record is from RefSeq and is a predicted model, not a curated record.